Long non-coding RNA from Schistocerca nitens (vagrant locust), 649 nucleotides. RefSeq lists it as uncharacterized. The transcript is spliced from 3 exons. The record is from RefSeq and is a predicted model, not a curated record. Lineage: Eukaryota; Metazoa; Arthropoda; Insecta; Orthoptera; Acrididae.
GGUUAAACUUUGUUAUGUUUUGGUAAUACAGAUUUGCGUGGCAAAUUUGAUUUUGUGUACGUAUAUUACUAUUUUAUCAUGUUUCGGAUGAUUCAUGUUCCUGGAGAGGUAUCACCAGAAGAAAAAAAGAAAGCUAAAGAAGCAGUUAUAGAAAACGUCGCCGCUUUCUUUAUUUGGGUUGUUUUUAUAAGAGGGCUUCGGUAUGUCUUGAGGCGGUUCUGACUGCUGAUCAGAAGUGAAACGCUAUGAAGUGAAAUACCAAACAAAAGAUGGCAUUGAAAAGUUCCUGUAUUUGUCUGUAGCAGUCAACUAAUAAAAUGUGAAACGGCGUAUUUAACACAAAACUUGUAUUCGUUGCAUUAUAUCAUACUAUUCAAAAUAUAAGUUUCAUCGAAGUUAAUGAAGAAAUUGGCAGCAGCGCAAUAGACAUACACAGGUUGUGACUAUCUGUAAGACGUUUCAUUAAAUAAGGUAUACGGAACUUUUAUGGUUGGGAAACUAAUUGCAGUCAAGUGUAUCAGAAGACCCAACCCUCAGCAUAAUUUCCCUAUCAUGUUUAGAACAAGACUAGAGUUUUCAUAAGUGUGUUGUGUAAAAUAGCAGUAAACUGAAGCUGUCAUCAUAGUAAUUAAAGGAAUAUUAUCUUGGA